AGCAGCCGCGGUAAUUCCAGCUCCAAUAGCGUAUAUUAAAGUUGUUGCAGUUAAAAAGCUCGUAGUUGAAUUUCGGGGUCAGCAAGUUGGUCGUGCCACAGGUAUGUACCGGCUUUGCUGAUUCCUCCUUCUUGUAGAACCGUAAUGCCAUUAAGUUGGUGUUGCGGGAAACAGGACUGUUACUUUGAAAAAUUAGAGUGUUUAAAGCAGGCUAACGCUUGAAUACAUUAGCAUGGAAUAAUGAAAUAGGACGACGAUCCUAUUUUGUGGUUCUAGGAUUGACGUAAUGAUUAAUAGGGAUAGUUGGGGGCAUUAGUAUUCAAUUGUCAGAGGUGAAAUUCUUGGAUUUAUUGAAGACUAACUACUGCGAAAGCAUUUGCCAAGGAUGUUUUCAUUAAUCAAGAACGAA
Molecule: ribosomal RNA, 409 nt
Filed under: uncultured Glomeromycotina
Lineage: Eukaryota; Fungi; Glomeromycota
Description: SSU rRNA
Rfam family: Eukaryotic small subunit ribosomal RNA
Source: RNAcentral